GUCCACGCCGUAAACGAUGGGCACUAGGCGUCGGGGGAGUGACCCUCCCGGUGCCGUCGCUAACGCAGUAAGUGCCCCGCCUGGGGAGGUACUGCCGCAAGGCUGAAACUCAAAGGAAUUGACGGGGGCCCGCACAAGCGGUGGAGCAUGUGGUUUAAUUCGAAGCAACGCGAAGAACCUUACCUGGGCUUGACAUGCACGGGAAAGCCGGUGGAAACAUCGGCCCCUCUUCGGAGUCCGUGCACAGGUGCUGCAUGGCUGUCGU
Molecule: ribosomal RNA, 265 nt
Filed under: uncultured bacterium
Lineage: Bacteria
Description: partial 16S ribosomal RNA
Rfam family: Bacterial small subunit ribosomal RNA
Source: RNAcentral